RNAcentral lists this long non-coding RNA (10999 nucleotides) under Gossypium barbadense (sea-island cotton). RNAcentral's name for it is "long non-coding RNA (GBAR_LNC008970)". Lineage: Eukaryota; Viridiplantae; Streptophyta; Magnoliopsida; Malvales; Malvaceae. The record is from RNAcentral.
UAUCCUUGGUCAAGAGGAAGGUAGCAACGAAGCUUCUUGAGUCGUCGGAGGGGCUUUUACCUAAAGAAGAGGUGAGUUAUGUAUUAGACUUAUGGGAAAAAGUAGUGAUGCAAACAUUGAAGCUAGGACCAAUGAGGUUCAAUUCGGGGAAAACGAUGGAGCUUGUUGAGUCAUUGGAAAGACUUCCAUCCAAUGAAGAGGUGAGUUGUGCAUCGGACUUAGAGGAAAAAAUAGCUGUGAAAACUUUGAAGCUAGGAUCAAUGAGGCUCAUUUCUGUUGAGUUAUUGGAGGAGUUACCACUUAUGGGAAAGGUAGGUUGUGCAUUAAAAUUUGGAAAAGUGGUGAUGCAAACUGGAUAGUUGAGUCGAGUAAAUACAACGAACGAGGUAAAUCUCAAAUACUAUGAUAGUGUUUUACAUUUUGACUUACCAUUAGCUUGACAAGAAUAUAAAGACUGUAGCAGCCAAUUUUGGCCCAUACCAACAAACCAAAAUAAAACACCAAAUACAAUAAAUAAAAAUAAAGUCCAAGAGUCACCUAGCCCAAAUUACAAACUACCCAAACCCCAUCAGCCCACUACUAAACCAAACCCAAUUAAAUACAAACCCUAAAGCCCAAGACAGCCCAACCAACUAAAAAUUUUCAGCAGCAAAAAACCUAGCUGCAGGCUUUCAGCUGCUGCCUCCUCUGACACGUGUGCCACCACCGCUCGGGGCACCAACCACCAGCCUCUGACACGACCUGCAAAAUGAAGGUCCACACGCAAGCAAAUACCAACAGUAGAGAAACGAACAAAGAGAAAACGACAAGCAAAAACAAAAACGAAAGGAAUCAAACAAAAUAAAAAAACAAAGAACAAAUCAGUGUAACUCGGCUAUAAAAGCCGAAAUCAAUCCCUUUCUUUUUUUACGGAGAUUAUAAAGCAAAACGUGAAAUAAAAAUUAGAAAGGUCGUUGUUUUAAUAUUUUUUUGUUUCUUUUAUCUUCUCGUUUUUUCAUUUUAUUUCAUUUUUUAGAUAUCUAUUUUAAGCAUAAAAAACAAAGAAUAAAAAAGAAAAGGGAGGGGCUCACCUCGAUCUCGUGGUCGCGCGUCGGAGAACACUUUUCCAUCGCCUACAUCGGACCCAAAAGGGGGGGUUGAGGGCCUCCUUCGAUUCUUUGAGUUUUCGUAGCCUAGCCUUUAAAGGCGUUUCAAACGAGGCUAAGGGGACCAUUUUGCUUCUCUCCGACCACCGUAUACGGUGGAAGAGCGGUGGUCCGGCGAUGAUGGGUAUAUUACCCUAGCCAAAUGAGAAGAGGGAGGAGGGAGAGAGAGAGCAGGAAGGCUCUCUGCCUUUUUUUUUGAAAGAAAAUAAAGUUAAAAUAAAAAUAAACAAAAUUUUUUGGCUUUAAUAGCCAUGCAAAACACUGCGUUUUGCACACAUAUGCUUGGGUUUGGGAUAUUGUCCCAUUUAAUCCCCGCGAGUUUAAGCAUGUUUCGAAUUAGCCCCCAGGACCUUCUCUUUUCAUUUGCAAUUGAUACCCUGAAUUCUGGCCCACUUUCAAUCACGUCCUGCAUCCUUUUUGUUACUUUUAUUGUUUAUUAAUUUUAGAAUGUUUUAUUAUGUACUAUUUCAAAUAUUUUACAUACUGUUUGCUACUAGAUUAUUUAUGUAUAUGAUUUAUUUUAACUUGUUUUAACAUUGAUUAUUAAAAAUCGAAUUACUACCCAUUUUAAACGUUUUUUUUGUAUAUUGAGUGUACUAGGCUAUUUUGUUAUAUUAUAUGUUUUUGAUACUUUUCACAUAUCAUUCAUAUAGUUUAUUUCCAAUUAUUUUUUAUACAUAUAACAAAGUGACAGUUUUGUAUAUUGUUAUUACUAUUAUUAUUUUCUUUAAGCCCCCUUUUAUUUCAAGUUUUUAUCUCUAUGUAUAUAUAUGUAUAUUUUUAAAUUAAUCUAUAUGCACAUCGUUCAUUUUAAAACUGUUUUCAUGCCUUAUAUAACCCUAUUUAUUUAUUUUAAAAUAUUUUUUAUUAUUGUUUACUUUAAAUUUAUAUAUAUAUUUUUCAUACUUUUACAUGUAUAUAUAUAUUAUUUACUUUAAAAUUAUUCGUAUGAAUCUUUUUCAAUUUGCUUUAUGUAAUAUAGAUUUUAAAAUUCUCUAUAUUAUAUAUUUUACAAAUUCGCUUCGUGCAUCAUUCGUUUUAAAUUGUUUAUUGUAAAAUUUUAUAUGUAUUAUCAAUUUCAAAUCGUUAUAUCUAUUUUGUACACAUAUACAUACUAAUUAUUUCUUAGAUGUCUUGAGUAUUACAUAUUUUAAGUUUCUUUUACAUAAUAUUUAUUUUAUACUUGUUUAGGUAUCAUUUGUCUUAAAUUAUUUUACACAUUAUUCAUUUUUAAGCUUUUCCCAUAUAUUAUUUAUUUCAAAUUUUGGUCUGUAAUAUCUAUUCUAAAAUCUCUUAUACAUAUAUUCUUCUUUUAAAUUGGCUUGCACAUUGUUGAUAUUUCUUUUUAUUAGUUAUUUUAAAUUCAUUUCUUGUCAUUUUUAAAUUUGCUUUACGUUUUAUUCAUUUUAAUUCGCUUUAUAAUAUUUUUUUAUUCAUUUGUCUUUGAUUAUUAAUGAUUAGUAUCUAAGCGAUAUAUGUUAUGUGAAUAUUACCAUUGCGUGUAUUAUAUUUGGUCUAUUCGUAUAUUCAUCAUUUUCAUUUGCUUGUAUAACAUUGUAUUCAUGUUGUAUUAUCCCAUGCUCUACGAUAUAUCUUUGUUUUAUCUAGCCUAAGUCAUAUCAUACAUUAAGCCCAAUACAUUUAUCCAAUAAAUCGUUUUAUUUUAAUCUAACAAAUACACGUCGUUUAAAUAUUGUAUUCGCUACUAUUCAAAAACAAAAUUUUCCAAAUAAGGCAAUGUUAUGCAUUUUGAAAUGUUGAGGAAUUGUGCCCUAACUUACGGGGUUUCGAUUCUCUCGUUGAUUCUAAAUAGCCAAAUAUCCUUUCGAGUUUUAAGAACACAUGAAAUUUCAAUUAAAAUAAAAGAUAAACUUGCGCUCGGAAGUAAAAGGUAUCGUGUCCUAACUUACGGGAUGUGAUUCUCUGAUGUCUCGAGACGAGGAAAUCUUUAGCAAUCGUUUUGAUCCAAUUCAAGCACUUUUAAACUCGACAUUCAUAAAAAGGGAUCGUAUUUCAAAAUUUAUUUUAAAACUUUUCAAUUUACGAUAUUAAGACAUUAAUUAAUCAAUUAGGUACCAAUUUUUGGCGUUACGAGGGUGCUAAUCCUUCCUUGUACGUAACCGACUCCCGAACCCGUUUUCUCAAAUUUCGUAGACUAAAAUGUCGUUUUAGUAAACUAAAAUGUUUUAUUAAAACAAGGGUGAUCCGAUCACAUCCAAUAAAGAUCGGUGGCGACUCCCGUUUUAAUUUUCACUUUCAAAAUCAAAGUCGAUCCCCGUUUUAAAAAAUGGUUUCGACAGCUUGGCGACUCCACUGGGGACCUAUUAAGAGAGUCAAGCCACACGUUGAUUAACUUUUGUCUUUUUUUUGAAAAUUGAAAAUUUGGUUUUGAUGUAUGAUCCUUUCAUUGCAUUUCACCCGUUUUUCUUACGGUUUUUUAUCAUUUUAUUCCUAUUUUCUUUAAUCACUUCGAGUUUUUUAUGCAUAUAUCCUCGCACAUUUCAUUGCAUGACCGUUGUGGUCGCACUCUUUAAGUGGGAGUGAAAAACUAUUCCUUCGUGAUGUUUUCACCUCCGUGCAGGAUAGCGGAUCGCUUUCGGGAUACAUUAGUACCUAUGUCUUCGUGAGAUUUUCAUCUCCGUGCAGCCAUAGGGAAAUGUAUUCUCCUGAAUUGAACUUGGUCUGUAUGAGCCUAUAAUGGGCGAAGAUCGAGGAAUCUGCUGGUUCAGGUACCUUUACUCUAGAACUAAACUACAUAUAGAGUGACCUAGGAGCCCACCCUAGGUAAAGCCAUUUUGAACCUCUAGUGGUCACCCAAAUUGCUUUAUUUGUUAUUUAUUUAUCCUGUACUAACGUGUUUUGUUUUUGUUUUGUUUAUAAUUGCAUUACAUUACAUCAUCAUAGGAAGGAGGUGUUGAUUCAUAUUUGAUUGCUAAAUAGAAUAGUUUGUCAUAAGAAAACGAAUUUUUUGAUAAAGUGGAUUAUAACACGAUUAUCUAAAUAUGGUCCAAGUAAACACAAUGAAAGAAAGCUGAUAGUCCGUGAAGAAAUACAAGACUUUGCUUCAUUGCCUGCGGAUACAAGCCGUCAAAGAUUAUUCGAGAGUCGUCAUGGAGCUGACGAGUAUAGUAGGGACAAGUGAUCAAUGAGUCGCGGCCUGGAUCAAGCAAAAAGGAGUUAAUAUAGACAUCUCUUGGAGAAUUCGAAAGACUCGACCAUAAGAUCUAGAUAUGAAGAGGAAGUUAGGUGUCUUCACUUGAAAUAUGGGAGAAAGGCCGUAUAUGUAGUCUGUUUUAUGUAAAGGAAUUUGUUUUCUAGAAAAGUUGUUCUAAUGAAAUUGAAUUCAGAAUCAAUGCCUUCCUUUCUUUUGCAUUCAUUUCAUGCAUUUGCAUUGCAUUGCAUUAUUUGCAUUAGACUUUCCCUAAAAGAACCCUAAUUAGGUGAAAUUAUUUCAGUUAGCAUGGGAACCGACAAAGGUUAAACGACUAGGCAUCUUUACAGUACACGAAAAAGGAUAAAAGAUAUGGAUCAAAGAUUGGAAAGACUUGAACAACUUCAAAGAGAGACGCAAGACCUGCUACAAAUGCAAAUGCAAGAGCAACUAGCGAAGAUCCAGCAAGAUAUAAUGGACCAAAUGCUAGAAUCCCAAAGGAAUACGAUGAAUCAGUUGUCCCAAUUACUGACUAAGGGGCUAAGAAAAGGAAAAAACUCCAUGAUCAAUGCUGGGGAAGACAAUGAUGAGCCUCUAUACCCUCCGGGUUUCACCCCGAUAAACGAUCAGACAUGUCUGAAAGAUGUACCUAUUGCUAUCAGAUCACAACAACUUCAGGUCGGUACCCCGGCACCCCUGAACUACCUGACGGGCUCAGGUUCCAAUCCAAGGGACAGUCCAACCAAUCAUGAAGUUCCUGAUCUAGACGAAAUGAAAGAAAUAGAAAAAGCAAAGGUUGAACUGGCAAGACAACUCGAAGAUCGAUGCAAGUGGUUGGAAGAAAAACUUAGAGUGAUGGAGAAUGCUGAUUACCAUUGCGGGGUCGAUGCCAAGAAUCUGAGUUUGGUCUCUGAUCUAGUACUCCCGCCAAAAUUUAAGACUCCAGAAUUUGAAAAGUACAAUAGGACUAGUUGUCCUGAAGCUCACAUCACAAUGUUCUAUCGAAGGAUGACAGGAUAUGUUAAUAACGAGCAAUUAUUAAUUCAUUGCUUCCAAGACAGCCUGAUCGGGUCAGCAGCUAAAUGGUACAAUAAAUUAAGUCGUGCUAAAAUCAAUUUAUGGAAAGAUUUAGCACCGGCUUUCAUGAAGCAGUAUGGCCACAUGACUGACAUGGCGCCUGACAGAAUUACACUACAGAAUAUGGAAAAGAAGCAAAGUGAGAGCUUCAGGCAAUAUGCCCAAAGAUGGAGAGAGGUAGCGACGCAAGUCCAGCCGCCUCUUUUGGAAAAAGAGACCACGAUGCUUUUCAUCAAUACUCUGAAAGCCCCGUUCAUUACCCAUAUGUUGGGAAGCGCUACCCUGAGCUACUCAGACAUAGUAAUGUCCGGCGAGAUGAUUGAAAAUGCAAUCAGGAGUGGGAAUAUAUAUGUAGGAGGAAGCGCAAAGAGGUCAACCCCAAAUAGAAAUGAAAAUGAAGUGAAUAAUAUGAGCAAGGGGUACCCCAAAUUGGUCAACAUAGGCCAGCCGGGGCAGGAAUCCAACUCGAGGCCUAAUACAGAAAGGCUCCGGUUUACACCAAUCCCAAUGUCAUAUAAGGAGUUGUAUCAGAGUCUCUUUGAUGUACAUGUAGUAUCACCGUUCUACUCGGAACCAGUGCAACCUCCAUUCCUAAAAUGGUAUAAUAAGAAUGUUCAAUGCGAGUACCACGCGGGAAUAACGAGACACUCAAUCGAAAAUUGCACUACUUUUAAAAAGUUGGUCGAAAUGUUCAUUGAAAUGGGAGUUGUAAAGUUUGACGAUUCCUCAAAACCAAAUCGCUCUGACAAUGCAAUAAAUACGAUUUGAAAGUGGAGGCAAGAGAGUUGCAAUGCCUUGAACAAGUCAAAAGUCUGGAAGGAAUAUCGGGGAAUCUGAAUGACUUAUCCGAAGAAGGAACCGGGGAAUAAAAGUUUCCAAACCCUUGCAUUACUUAGAAGUGUUUUGAACAAUGGGAUUGUGGAAGAGAUCCCUUUAUUUUUAGAGUUAAUCUAGAGUAAUAUUCAAAACACGCUUGUUGCUUUAAGCCUAGAAGCAAUUAGACCCCUUUUGUGAAAUAGGCUUGUGUCCAAAGUUUUUAUUUCAAUAAAAUGCAUCUUUUUGAGAAAAUAUUCUUUGAUUUCAUAUUGUACAAAUAAUCGUUCUUAGAUUCAUUUGUUCUUUGGACUUUCUUUCAAAUAUUCAUGUAUACUUCAUCCAUGAUCAUACCAUACAAAUAAUCAUCCUUAGAAUCAUUUAUUAUUUGGAAUCUUCCUUCAGCGGGUCCUCAGAUAUCAAUGAUGUGAGUAAUGCUGUCAUUGACUCCGAGUCUCCUUUUGAGCGAAAUAUGGGCCUAAAGGGAUCUCAACACUUUGAAGAUGACAGAGAUGUAGACUACUCUCUGAUUUGUUAGGGAUGGUAGAGUAAGAUGAAACAGAUCAUCUCUUACAAAAAGUCAGUAGACAGUAGACCUAGGACAAGAGAAAGAGGCAAACAUCGAAGUCUGCAUUACCACAAAGGCAAAGCGAGCUUCAUUGAGUCACUUCUAAGAAUUUAAAGAUUUUUGCACGAUCGUAUCAAGAUACGCCUGGCUACUAAGACAUGAGGAUGUUGUUGGGUUUUGAAUGACAUAUGCUAAUGGGUUUACGAUGGCCAGACUAAUCAUGAGAUUUGGGUUCUGCUGGCCCACCAUAGAAAGGGAUUGCAUCAGUAUGCCGUAAAUGCCAAAUUUAUGGAGAGAAAUUCAUGUGCCCCUUCAUUCUUUCUACUUUCUCUAUGUGGGGCAUGGAGGUUAUUGGGUUGAUCUCGUCGAAGGCUUCUAGCAGACAUCAAUUACUUCGUUAAGAGGGUGAAAGUCGCUUCAUAUGCCAAUCAUCAAAUCCUUAAAAAAAAAAGAGAUCAUGGAAAGGUGACUGAGACUUGUAAAGAUUGGCAUAAGAAGUCAUCAUGUACCCUCUAUGCUCAUCAAACGUUAGCCAAGACCUUCGCCGGGGCAACAUAUUUCAUUAGUCUAUGGGAUAAAAACGGUUUUGAAGAAAAGAUUCUUUGUUUCUGAAUCUUGACAAAGUUGAAGUUGGAUAAGGCAAAAUGGAUCCAAUCCCGAAAUGAUCAGUUGAGUUUGAAGAAAGGAGGUUGAAAGCCAUCUGUCAUGGUCCAAUAAAUGAUGUGAACUUAUGACGAAGAGGUUCAUCCUAGAAAAUUCCACUAGGGGAACUUGAUAUUGAAGAAUAUCCCUCCUAUACAAAAGGACUUCAGAGGAAAGUGGAUGUCAAACUAAGAAAGACCUUAUAUAAUAAAGAAGGCCUAUUCUGAAGGAGCAUUGAUUCUAGUCGAAAUGAAUGGCAGAGAUUUUCCCAAUCUGGUGAAUUCAAAUCUAGUCAAUGAGCAUUCUACGUAAAAGGAAAGAGGCCAAGGUGAAAACCCGCAAAGGGCGCCUUUAAAAAAAAAAAGGGAGAGGCCAAGGCGAAAGCCAGCAAAUGGCACCUUGAGACCAAAGGGGAUUUAAGUUGAAAACCCGAAAAGGGCGGCUCAAAUUUGGAUCAAAGUGGGGCAUACAGCAGUCUUGCCAUGCCUGAAUUAACAAUAAAGAAGUAUGCUACAUCUUGGGGCAUCAACAAAGUACUCCGGAUCCCCUAAACACAUAUUGAGCUUAGAAAGGUCCUUAAGAAGUUGGUACAGAGAAGCUCAAGCAGCGAUAUCUGGGGCAUCUAGCUUCCAUUUUGCCCAUCUUGAAUUUGUUAUCUUUGAUUCUUUUCAAGAUAUGUCCGAAUAAAUUUUCUUCUUAUUGCAUUGCUAUCAUUGAUUAACUUAUUCAUUUUGAGUUAAUUUCCUUCUUAUUGCAUUUGCAAUCUUUGAUUAAUUUAUUCAUUUCGAGCUAUGCUCCCAAUCAAUUUACUUCUUGUCCAUCGUUUUGAUAUUUUUCAAGCAUUUUGUAUUGAAAUAAUGAUUAAUGGACCAAUAAUACUUUCACAAAAGAAGUUCUGCAUAUUACUUUGGGAGCUUCUAAAUAGUACAGGAGCCUGAAACAGGACCAUUAUUCAGAACUCACCAAGCCUAAAGGUAGGAAAUAUUUGAGCCCAAAUUGAAAUUAUCUCAUUGGGUUUUCUAUCAAAGAUAUUGGUUGAGCAGAAAAAUUAAUUGGUGUUAUAAUCCCGGCAAAGAACGAGCAAUGAGAUUAUUCUUGGGAAAAGAAAAAUGAUGCUUUGCAUUUAUGCGAAUAUCAAGCAUAUACAUCUGGCCAUUACACCCAGGGAAUAGUGUAACAGAUCAAACUAAUUAAAGAUGAUACAAAUCCUAUACCUUUGAAUUACAGUAGGAUGGAUGGAAGAAACCAAAUGUUAUUCCUUUGAAAUUGCAGUGGGAGGCAGAAACUUUAUGUCCCAGAAGGUACAGUGGAAGGGACUCUGAAAUUACAGCGGGGCAAGCUUGCUGAACAAAAUGUGAUUGUUUUUCUGAAUUUUCUGUCAAGAAUACCAGUCGAACAAGAUGGCAACGUAAUACGUCAGUGAUAAUGUCCUGAUGAACAACGAGCGAUGAUACCUUAAGCCUUUUUUUAAAAAAAAAAAGGAGAAAAAAGCUCAUGACAUUUCUACACAUCUAGUUAGGAGCAUUUGAUUCAUUUUGAUCAUAGCAUCCUAAUUAUUUGACAUAAGCAUCACAUUUAGUUAGGAGCAUUAGAUCCAUUUCAAUCAUAGCAUCCUAAUUAUUUGGCAUAAACAUAGAUACAUGAAACUGAUUUUACAGAUCAUGUUCCUCAGAGGAUAGUGCAGUGGAAUCGGUGAAUUCAAAGCCUUAUCUCCCUAAGCAGUAGGGUAACAGGCUAAAUUUACAGAUCUUGUCUCCCUAAGCAGUAGUGGAGCAAAUCGAAGACGAACGGCCUUAAACCCCUAAGCAGUAGGGUAACAGGUUAAAUUUAUAGAUCUUGUCUCCCUAAGCAGUGGUGGAACAGAUCGAGGGUUAAGAGCCUUAAACCCCUAAGCAGUAAGGUAACAGGCUGAAUUUACAGAUCUUAACCCCUUAAGCAGUAGGGAAACAGAUCGAAGAUGAAGAUCUUAACCCCCUAAGCAAUAGGGAAACAGAUCGAAGAUGAUAGGCUUUAACCCCCUAAGCAGUAGGGUAACAGGCUGAAGAUUUACAGAUCUUAACCCCCUAAGCAGUAAGGAAACAGAUUAAAGAUGAUAGGCUUUAACCCCCUAAGCAAUAGGGUAACAAGCCGAAUUUACAAGCCUUAAACCCCUAAGCAGUAGGGUAACAGGUUGAAGAUUUACAAAUCUUAACCCCCUAACUAGUAGGGUAACAGGUUGAAUUUACAGAUCUUGUCUCCCUAAGCAGUAGUGGAGCAAAUCAAAGACGAAAGGCCUUAACCCCAUAAGCAGUAGGGUAACAGGCUGAAUUUACAGAUCUUAACCCCCUAAGUAGUAGGGAAACAGAUCGAAGAUGAUGGACCUUAACCCUCUAAGUAGUAGGGUAGUAGGCUGGAAAUCAAAUAUCUUCUCCCUAAAAUGGCGUUGGAGCGGCUAAAAGCCACAGCAGAUCUCCUUGAAGUUUCAGUGGAGUAGAUUAAAAAUCACAGAUCUUAUCUCUCUGAAGUUGCAGUAAAGCAGAUCCAAACAAACCUUAUCUCCCUAAAGUUGCAGCGGGGCAGGUUGAAAUCACGAGUCUCAUCUCCUUGAAAUUGUAGUGGAGCAGGCUGAAGAUAGUGGAUCUUAUUUCCCUGGAGUUGCAGUGGAACAAAUCAAAGCUACGAAUUACGAGUUCUAUACCUCUGAAGUUGCAAUAGGGUCAGAUCAAAUUCUUCAAAUUGAGCAGAUGAAAGCUACAAAUCUACACCCCUGAAGAUGCAGUGGGAUGGAACGAGACUUUUAGAAGAACAAAAGUACCAAGAAGCCAAAGACUCAGUGGGACUGGGCAAAAUUGGCUCCUUUAAAGUCUUUGCUCCAUUCUCGUUACACGACAAUGAGCAAAGAGGGGCAGCUGUAGCAGCCAAUUUUGGCCCAUACCAACAAACCAAAAUAAAACACCAAAUACAAUAAAUAAAAAUAAAGUCCAAGAGUCACCUAGCCCAAAUUACAAACUACCCAAACCCCAUUAGCCCACUCCUAAACCAAACCCAAUUAAAUACAAACCCUAAAGCCCAAGACAGCCCAACCAACUAAAAAUUUUCAGCAGCAAAAAACCUAGCUGUAGACUUUCAGCCGCUGCCUCCUCUGCCACGUGUGCCACCACUGCUCGGGGCACCAACCACCAGCCUCUAACACGACCUGUAAAAUGAAGGUCCACAUGCAAACAAAUACCAACAGCAGAGAAACGAACAAAGAGAGAACGACAAGCAAAAAAAAAAAAACGAAAGGAAUCAAACAAAAUGAAAAAACAAAGAACAAAUCAGUGUAACUCGGCUAUAAAAAGCCGAAAUCAAUCCCUUUCUUUUUUUCCGGAGAUUAGAAAGCAAAACGCAAAAUAAAAAUUAGAAAGGUCGUUGUUUUAAUAUUUUUUGUUUCUUUUAUCUUCUCGUUUUUUCAUUUUAUUUCAUUUUUUAGAUAUCUAUUUUAAGCAUAAAAAAUAAAGAAUAAAAAAGAAAAGGGAGGGGCUCACCUCGAUCUCGUGGUCGCGCGUCGGAGAACACUUUUCCAUCACCGAUAUCAGACCCAAAAUGGGGGGUUGAGGGCCUCCUUCGAUUCUUUGAGUUUUG